CCUACGGGUGGCUGCAGUGAGGAAUAUUGGUCAAUGGGCGGGAGCCUGAACCAGCCAAGUCGCGUGAGGGAAGACGGUCCUAUGGAUUGUAAACCUCUUUAGGCGGGGAGCAAUGCCGGUCACGCGUGCCCGGCGGGAGAGUACCCGCAGAAUAAGCAUCGGCUAACUCCGUGCCAGCAGCCGCGGUAUUACGGGGGAUGCGAGCGUUAUCCGGAUGUAUUGGGUUUAAAGGGUGCGUAGGGGGAUUUUUAAGUCAGCGGUAAAAGGUUCGGGAUCACACCGGGCCGGCCGUUGAAACUGGUGAUCUUGAGAGGGAGAGAGGUAUGCGGAAUGCGGGGUGUAGCGGUGAAAUGCGUAGAUA
This 361-nucleotide ribosomal RNA is filed under the name uncultured bacterium. Its description in RNAcentral is "partial 16S ribosomal RNA". It matches the Rfam family "Bacterial small subunit ribosomal RNA", at positions 338 to 696 of the family's 1533-position model. The record is from RNAcentral.